RNAcentral lists this small RNA (625 nucleotides) under Pan troglodytes (chimpanzee). RNAcentral's name for it is "processed transcript". Lineage: Eukaryota; Metazoa; Chordata; Mammalia; Primates; Hominidae. The record is from RNAcentral.
CUGACCCGCCGCUGUGCAGCGCACCGCACCGCGGGAAGAUGGCGUUGGAGGUCGGCGAUAUGGAAGAUGGGCAGCUUUCCGACUCGGAUUCCGACAUGACGGUCGCACCUAGCGACAGGCCGCUGCAAUUGCCAUGCUAGGUGGCGACAGUGCUAUGAGGGCCUUCCAGAACACGGCAACUGCAUGUGCACCAGUAUCACAUUAUCGAGCUGUUGAAAGUGUGGAUUCAAGUGAAGAAAGUUUUUCUGAUUCAGAUGAUGAUAGCUGUCUUUGGAAACGCAAACGACAGAAAUGUUUUAACCCUCCUCCCAAACCAGAGCCUUUUCAGUUUGGCCAGAGCAGUCAGAAACCACCUGUUGCUGGAGGAAAGAAGAUUAACAACAUAUGGGGUGCUGUGCUGCAGGAACAGAAUCAAGAUGCAGUGGCCACUGAACUUGGUAUCUUGGGAAUGGAGGGCACUAUUGACAGAAGCAGACAAUCCGAGACCUACAAUUAUUUGCUUGCCAAGAAACUUAGGAAGGAAUCUCAAGAGCAUACAAAAGAUCUAGACAAGGAACUAGAUGAAUAUAUGCACGGUGGCAAAAAAAUGGGAUCAAAGGAAGAGGAAAAUGGGCAAGGUCAUCUC